Molecule: long non-coding RNA, 327 nt
Organism: Corticium candelabrum
Lineage: Eukaryota; Metazoa; Porifera; Homoscleromorpha; Homosclerophorida; Plakinidae
Exons: 3
Source: RefSeq, a predicted model, not a curated record
CGGGACAGAAUUUCUAUAAUAUACCAGUCGUAGCAGAUGAAGAAAUAUCAGUGACACAUUCAUGGAGCCAAGAUAUAGUUGAAAAGAGCAAUUCUAUGUAGAGAAAAUGGACACGCAAAAGACCAAGAGAAGAGAAGAAGGUGGUUACAGCUAUUGCAAACAUGAAGUGGAAAACGCAAGUUCUAAAAAUUGGAAAGGUAUGUCUAGCACAAUCGGUGAAGAUGUUACAGACAAACAGACGUCUCAAGCGAUCAACAAGGAACAAGAGAUUGUCAUCACAUCUCACAAGUAAAGCAACACGUGCAAUGAAAGCUUUGAGAACACGGA